This 3169-nucleotide long non-coding RNA is filed under the name Olea europaea subsp. europaea. The record is from RNAcentral. Lineage: Eukaryota; Viridiplantae; Streptophyta; Magnoliopsida; Lamiales; Oleaceae.
GUAAGUGGCAUCCACUCUAGCUCCAUCCACAUUCUUCUCGAGUUUAAAUCCAGGAACAAUUGGGUUUUGAACUGGAUUGGAAUUAAUCAUACCAAACCUUUCCAAAACGUCCAGUGCAUACUUCCUUUGGCUAAUAAAAAUACCAUCAAUUUUUUGUGUCACUUCAAUGCCAAGAAAGUAUUUCAUCCUUCCAAGAUCAGUCAUAUCAAACUCUAAUUUCAUAGAUUUUUUGAACUCAUCCAUCAUGGACUUAUCAUUUCCAGUAAGAAUGAGAUCAUCAACAUAAAGACACACAACUAGAAUUUUACCUCCUCCUUUAGUCUUGAUGAACAAAGUGUGUUCAUAGUGGCACUUCUCAAAGCCUUCUUUCAUGAAAUAAGAUUCAAUACGACUAUACCAAGCUCGUGGAGCUUGCUUAAGUCCAUAUAAGGCCUUUUUCAGUUUGUAUACCUUCUCCUCAUCACCUUUUCGUUCAUAGCCUCGAGGCUGCUCCACAAAAACCUCUUCAUUUAAUUUACCAUGCAGGAAGGCUGACUUCACAUCUAGUUGAAAAAUUGUCCAUGUUUUUUGAGCUGCAAGGGCAAUUAUCACACGGAUUGUAUCUAGUCGAGCCACGGGUGCAAAUACCUCAGUAUAAUCCACCUCGUGUUGUUGAGUGUACCCUUUUGCUACAAGACGUGCCUUGUAUUUAUCAACUUCUCCAUUCUCAUUGAGUUUAGUUUUGUAAACCCAUUUUAAUCCUAUCUUCUUUCCUCCAAUAGGCAAGUCAAUUAAAUCCCAAGUAUCAUUCCUUUCUAUUGCUUCAAUCUCCAAAUCCAUGGCUUUUCUCCAUUUAUCACUCCUCACAGCAUCAUCAUAUGAAAUAGGGUCACUAGCAGUAAACAUGACCAAAUGAGCCAUAUCCUCUUCCUCAGAAGGGGCUUCUCCACUGAUGUAGUCUUUCAUCCAAAUAGGCGGCCUUCUUUCUCUUGUUCCAAGAGGAUUUGGUAAGUCUUCAUGUAAUAAUUCACCUGUCCAUUCCUCUGUUUCCAAUUCUGUUUCUGUUUCUGUCUGACUAUUACAAUUUGCAUCUGAUUCAUCCUCAAUAUCACUUUCUCCCCACUCUAAAUCAGCAAUGUUAGUUUCUUCAUGCUUCUUUUCCCAGUUCCAAAUUUCAUCCUCCUCGAAAACCACAUCUCUACUUAUCAAGAUCUUCUGUGAAGUUGGAUCAUAUAAUCUGUAUGCCUUCGACUCCUCACUGACUCCAAGCAAAAUACACUUCAAACUCUUGUCAUCGAGUUUUGUUCUUUUAGCAUCAGGAAUAUGAGCAUGACAAAUGCAUCCAAAAACUCUAAAAUACUCCACUGAUGGCUUAGUUCCACUCCAGGCUUCUUCCGGAGUUUUAUUCCUCACUGCAAGUGUUGGGCUUCGAUUUAAAACAUGGACGGUCCAAUUAACUGCUUCAGGCCAGAAAGUUUUUGGAAUCUUCUUUUCCGAAAGCAUGCUUCGAACCAUAUUCAUAAUGGUUCGAUUCUUACGUUCUGCUACCCCAUUUUGUUGUGGGGUGUAUGCGGCCGUUAGUUGUCUCCGAAUGCCGUUUACCCUACAAAAUUCAUUGAACUCCUGUGAUGUAAAUUCUCCUCCACAAUCUGUACGCAAGCUUUGUAUAUCUGAACCUGUUUCCUUCUCAACUCGACUUUUGUAAUUUCUGAACGUAAUAAAUGCCUCAGAUUUUUCCACUAAAAAAUACACCCAAGUCUUGCGGCUGAAAUCAUCAAUAAAAGUGAUUAUAUACCUUUUUUUGCUAUUUGAAAUAGGUGUGAUAGGUCCACAUAUGUCUGCAUGUACUAAUUGAAGGAUCUGAGAGGCUCUCCAAGUGCUUUUCUUUGGAAAUGAAUCUCUUGUCUGCUUCCCCACCAAACAAUCUUGACAUAUCUUAGAUGAGGCUUUGAAUUGUGGUAGCCCAUGUACCAUCUUUUUAUCUUGAAGAGUCUUUAGACCUUUUAGACUUAAAUGGCCAUAUCUACAAUGCCAAAGAUGGGAGAGAUCUUCAAUGGUUGAGUUGAAACAGAUUGUUUCAUUUGGCUGAGAAUGAGCAACCAAAAUGAACAUUCUGUUUGAUGUCAUGGCAGUCUCCAUGAUCAGACCUCUCUCAGGGUGAUAAAUUUUGCAUUUCCCAGAUUGAAUGAGAAUUGCAAGCCCCUUCUCUUGUAACUGACCUACACUUAACAAGUUGUUCUUCAAUUCUGGUACAUAAAAAACCCCAGUGAUCACCUGCAUGACUCCAUUGACUUGCAAUCGUACAUUGCCUUUUCCCACUACUGCCAUGCUUGAAUUAUUCCCCAGCUUUACAAAUUCUCUAAAGUUUGCAUCAAAAUCAGAGAAAUACUCCUUUUGAUUGCUCAUGUGAUUGCUACACCCCGAGUCAAGAAACCACAAUGCCUUUUGAUCGGUUUCCUUAGUAUUUGUAACAUCUCUUCAGUAGCCUCGACAUAGCUUGCUUUUACAUUAUUCUCCACCUUGCUAGGACAUUCAUAUUGGAAAUGACCAAGCUUAUGACAGUUAUAACAUUCAACUGUAGACUUGUCAAAGUUUUGUCUACCUCUUCCUCUUCCAUUUCCUCUUCCUCUAAAGCCACCACGUCCUCGUCCUCUUCCUCCUGACUGAUAAUCAUAAGUGAUUUUGAGUGCUUGUUCUUCUACCACAUGAGCAUUCAUGCGUUGCUCAUGCACCAAAAGGCUACUUUGCAAUUCAUCAAUGGAUAAAGUAUCCACAUCGUUGGACUCCUCAAUAGAACACACCACAUAGUCAAAUUUUGAGGUCAUGGAUCUCAAAAUUUUUUCAAUGACAACGACAUCUCCCAUUUUUUCCCCAUGAAUCCUCAUUUUGUUGGCUAUGAUGAGGGUUCGAGCAAAGUAGUCAUUCACAGAUUCACCAGACUUCAUUUGACGCACCUCAAAUUCCCUUCGAAGAGCUUGUAGUUGUGCACGCUUGACUCGUGCAGUCCCUUGAUACUUCUGUUUCAAGGAAUCCCAAAUAUCUUUGGCAGUAUCCUUGUUCAGGAUAGUCUCCAGUAUUGAACGAUCAAUGGCUUGAAAGAGGUAAUUUUUCGCCUUCAGGUCCUUCAGUUUAAGGUCUUCAUUCAACUUUUUUUCUGCUUCAGUAAUCAGAACUCCUUCAGCUACUGCAG